CCGUCUUCGCAUUUGAACUCUUUACAUGUACGUACAAUUACAGCUCGAAUUACUUCGGAUCUUUCUAGAGGCAUUUGGGGCAAUGCGUCUUUGAUUACAGCAACAAUUAAAUCACCAAUACGAGCAUAUCGCUGAUUACCAGCAGCUCCUAUGACUCGAAUACACAUCAAUUUUCGAGCUCCACUAUUAUCUGCUACAUUUAAAAGGGUCUGAGGUUGAAUCAUAUUAUUUUGAUUUCAAUUUGUUAUUUCAAUGCAAAAGGAUGAAAGAAAUAUUGUCUUUCCAGAAAGAAAAACCGGGCAUUUUUUUUAUCUUCCAUACCCCUUUUAGGGUUCUAUAUCUCUAAUCGAAUAAAUUGACUUCGUAUGGGCAUUUUACUGGCAGCUAUGGAGAUAGCUGCUCUAGCUACAGUUUCAGAUACUCCCCCCAUUUCAUAAAGUAUACGACCAGGUUUAACAACGGAUACCCAAUAUUUGGGGGACCCCUUUCCCGAGCCCAUACAUGUUUCCGUGGGUCUUAGUGUAACCGGUUUGUCUGGAAAUAUACGUACCCAUAUUUUUCCACCACGGCGUGCAUAUCGUGUUAUUGCUCUUCGUCCUGCUUCUAUCUGUCUCGCCGUGAUCCAAGCGGGUUCAAGUGCUUGAAGAGCAUAUCUACCAAAACAAAUACGAUUGCCUCGGCAGGAUUUUCCUUUCAUUCUUCCUCUAUGUUGUUUGCGAAAUCUGGUUCUUUUGGGGUUAUAGUCGAUGGUUCUCUUUCUUAGUUCCAUCUCUACUGCAAAACUGGACAUGAGAGUUUCUUCUCAUCCAGCUCCUCGCGAAUGGAAUCGGAAAGCAUGUAAAUUUCUCUAAUUCAUAAUAUUCCAAAAUAUUACGGUACGGAUAGAUACACAUUAAUAGAUAAUAGAAAAAGUUCGGUUUUUUAUAUUGAAUUUGUUAAAACAGAAAAAUAUAAUAUAUAGUCAAAAAAGAAGAUCUAGAAUAUAUCCAGAUGUCUGUGUAUAUUUAUGUAAAUUCUAUAUUUAUAGAUAAUGUAAUUCUUCUUAAAAAAAUCCUUAUUUUUACUCUUAUUGAAUCGCGGUAAAGUAUUCUAAUUCAAUAAGAAUUUCGCGGGCGAAUAUUUACUCUUUCCUGUCUUAUUUGUUAAUUUAUAAACUUACCAAAUAAGACAAUAUUUUUGGUUUGUUCCGCCAUCCCACCCAAUGAAGUGUUAGGAUUCUUUUCAAUAAAAUCCUAUGGAAUCAUAGGUUCUGUCGUUCCCACUGCUUCUCCUUGAAUGGUUAGGUCUGGAUCUCGCAACGGAGCUUCCAAAAAAUUUCUUUCCGAGUUAAUUUUCUCAGUUUUAUUAACCCGGGCGGCUCUUUAUUAUUGCUUUAAAUUUGUAGUUCUUGUUUCAAGUUACAAUUUUUAAUUCUCUAUUAUUUUUAUUAUAUUGAUGCUUUAUCACAUUGCCUUUUAUGAUGUAAUUCAUAGACCAUACAUAGUGGAAUCCUAUAUCUUAUUUAUUUCCUCUUCCUUCUUUCUAUCAUCCCUCCCUUUAUCCACAUCCCUUUAGUUUUUCUUCACAACCAAGAAUCCCUUUUCUUUUUUAGAGAAAAAAUUGCAGUUGCUACAACUAUAUGACACAUCUACUCAUUUAUGAUAGAGGUAUUUAUUCAUAUAGUGACUGUUUCUUAGUUAGGAUCUCGACAAUACGAAGCAAUAGGUUGGUUAUUAGUUAAUUUUCUAUAAUUACUAAGUUUUUUUCUUAAAAAAAGAAAAAAAUAACGAGUCACACACUAAGCAUAGCAAUUAUAUUAAAUGAUUUAUCAAUUUUCAUUAAAUCUUAUAGAAAGAGGUACAAUUUCUUCUUUUGCAGGGAUUUCAGGAAAAAAGUCUCUUGUCAUUUUUUAUUCUAUCAAUGGACAGAAUCCGAAGACAAGAUUACUUAUUCUUCGUCUACGAAUAUCCAAAUUUUUACACCUAAUACUCCAUAGAUAGUCCGAAUUGGAUAGCAACAAUAAUCAAUUUUAGCGCGAAUUGUUUGGAGGGGAAGUCUACCCUUUUUAAUGGAUUCGGCGCGUGCAAUUUCUUUUCCUCCGAGACAACCCGCAAUUUUUACCUUUACUCCCCUUAUAUCUGCUUUUUUAGUUAAUUCAAUGCCUUUUUUCAUUGCCUUUCGGAAUGAAACUCUAUUUUUUAAUUGGAAAGCUAUAUAUUCUGCAAGAAUGUUAGGCUGUCUAUAAGGUUCUUUAACUUUUUCGAUAGAAAUAUUAAAUCUCUGGUUUACAAAGUUAAUUUCCUUUUGUAGAUCUUUCUCUAAUUCUUCGAUUGCUUCUUUUUUUCUUUAAUAAAUUUAGGAAUCCAAUAUGGAUUAUGACGUGGAUCGUAUCGAUUUCUUUUUGGAUUUCUAUAUGCGACAAAUGGCUCACAUGCAAUGUGCCAUUUGUCACAACCUGAAGUUUUUCUUUUUUUCGUAGAUCCGUUUAUUCAAAACGUUUUAUCUCUUAAACCAUGGGUCCAAAUCUCAAACCGCUUUCAUCGCAACAUGGGGUGUUGGAGUGAUCUUUGCAACGAAUACUCCUCAAGUAGUGAUUUCGGCUAGAUAUAACCUUUUAAUUGUUUUCACGCGAUGACAUAGGCCGUCUGAAUCCGGUUCCACGUUGCGCUAAGCUUGGCCGUAACGCCUUAUAGUUCUUCGAAAUAAAAAGGGUAAUCCACCAUUGAUACAAGCCGAGGAAGGGUACGUGCCAUCAUCGAUCGAUCAUGGUGGCCGUGCUUCGACUACAGGCGGCGGCAAGGAUGCUCCAACAAUCGACGACAGAGCACCGGCGCCGCAGCAGGCUCUUCCACGACGCCGGUUCACCCUCGACCCCCUCCGCUGCUGCCGAGGUACGUACCUACAUCUAUAUACUGUUGAAAAUAUGAGCAAUUUACCGAAUGAUUUUAUUAACAGAAAUAAUAGAUAAAGCAUGACUAAUAUAGUAGAGAUAAAACAAGUCAUGCGUUCUGACAGAGAGAAGGAAAAUAACUUCUGCAUAUAUGAAUCGUAGCUUAUCAUAUCUAUAGCAGACAGUAGAAUUAGUUGCAUAUAUGAGGUAGAACCUAACAUAUUUAGGGCAAGUACUAGUACGAGAAACGGUGGCAGGAUAUGUAACAGAAAGAAAAACACAUACGGGGCAGCAACAGCAGUAGCACUGGACUUGGGGUCGGUGUCCUCGCCAGCCAUGUCGUCGAGGAGGUUGUCGACGUCGGGGAAGAAGUCGUCGGAGUCCAGGGCGUCCGUGACGAAGGAGUCAGUCAAGUGCGUGGCAAAAAUUUAGACAUCGACUCGGCUCAUUCCCGCGGCGCCGCGGCGGGCAGCGGAGGAGGAGCGCGCGUGGAUAUCCCUCUUGUUCUCAUGCUCGUACAAGUGGAGAAAGAACCUCCCUUAUAAGGAGGUCCAACCUCCACUAAACUAGCAAUGUGAGACUGAACUUUAGUAGUAUCCCUUGCCUUGCACAAAUGGGCUAAGUGGGCCUCUAGGAUUUAUUAGGAAUUUCUAAAAAUAGUUAUUGGGCUGCCUAAAAUAGACUAAAUUCCAGCACAUACGGCAUCAUCAUGAAAACUAAAACAGACAAAGACGAACUACGACGUAUUUUUCCUCAACAAAGCCUCGUACAUCGGUACAUGUACUCACUCGUGUUGCGUUGCGUCCGUUGAUGACCAGAGGCUCUCGUUGCUGCAACUACACGAGAGGCAGCAGGAGCUGUCGGAGGAGCUGUACCCCGGCCCGUGCCGCUGGAGCUAGAGAAGAGAAUACUAGGCAAGAGAGUGGUUCUUCUACACCCACUCAAGAAAACAUGUCAAAAUAUUUUUUAAAAUCCAAAACUUUGUGUAAAUGAUCAUCAACAAAUGUUAGAGAAGAUUGCAAAAUUUAGUGGUCAAACAACAUUCGAGGAGCUCUCUACAAAAAGACAAAUUCACUGAAAAUUAGUCAAAAUAUAAAUGCACUGUUUGAGCAGAUUUUAUAAUUUUGCCUUUUUUGUAGAGAUCUUCUCGAAUGUUAUUUGACCAUCAAACUUUACAAUCCCUCGUAACAUUUGUUAAUGAUCAUUUUCAUAAAGUUUCAGAUUUUUUAAAAACUUUUUACUAUAUUUUCUUGCGUGAUUGCACCGUGGGUGCAUCGAAGAUGAGUGUAGCCACUAUUUUCAAGGCCCGCGGCCUGUUGCAGAAAACCAGAUACUCGGACCUGCUCAAGGUGGUCAAGAAGCACGUCGAGCCUAGACCAAACAACGCCGACUGGUAAGUACGUAUGGUAUACGACGUACAUACGCCUCCUAUUUUCUCGGCGCUGGUUAGCUAAUCACUAGCCUUUUCUUUCAUAUAAUUGCAGACGGUGGUUUCCAUCGAAAGUGAGAUUCUUCAAUGGAUGCGAGUGGGCGGUGAGUCUGGGGUUCCUACAUUGCGUGUGCUUCCAUGAUCUCACCCUGUUUGCUGCAAAAGAGACUCCCGUGGAAGAUGAAGAAGAUGAUGUAGAGGAGGAGGAGGAGGGACAAUUUUCACAUAUCUCGAUUGGUGUCAUGUCUUUAGUUUCUCUAUAUAUAGUUUAUAUGUCAUGUUUUUAUCAUAUCAGUUUUUUCUGGAAUGCAGGGGGUCUAGGAGACCCUAAGAAACAAAUCUUUAUUGCUAAUUUUGUUAGAAAUUAUAAUUUUAGUUUUGUUGGUGUAUCUGAAACUAAGGAGCAAAUCUUUUACAUAUAUGUUUUUAGACAUAAUUAGUUGUUAUACUUAUUUUGAGUGGAUUUUUUUUCUCCCGCUAGGUGCUAAUACUAAUGCUUUUAAGGUAUUAUUAGAAAAUGAAAUUGGCAUUUAUUUUGUUAGAGCUCCGGUAAAACAUUCAAACAACUAAACGGAGAUGUCAAUACGGCGUAACACGGCGUACUUCCAGGCCAUCGAUAAUGCCAAUACGGCGUAUUUCCAUGCCAUCGCUAACGGUAGAAGGCGCCAUAACACCACCCCCCCCCUCCUCUGGGACGGUGACACCGUUUUACAGUGGUCGUCCGACAUCCGCGCACAUGUCGAUGGCUUCUACAAAGCUCUCUUCUCCUCCUCCCCUAGGGGAGGCGUAUCCCUGGCCCCAUAUUUCUGGGCUGCACACUUGCCUAUCGCAACUGAGGAGAAUGCGACCCUCACGGCUCCAUUCUCCGAAGAAGAAGUGUGGUUGGCCAUCAAGGGCAUGAAUCUGACAUCUGCCCCAGGUCCGGAUGGACUCCCAGUUAGGUUCUUCGAGACCUUCUGAAAUGUGCUCAAACCCGAGGUGAUGGCUAUCUUGAGGAAUUUUAUGUUGGAUCCAUUGACCUUGCACGUCUAAACUACGAGAUUAUCACGCUUAUCCCCAAGGUCCCUAGGGCCUCGGACUGUUGGAAAUAUGCCCUAGAGGCAAUAAUAAAAGCAUUAUUAUUAUAUUUCCUUGUUCAUGAUAAUUGUCUUUAUUCAUGCUAUAAUUGUGUUAUCCGGAAAUCGUAAUACAUGUGUGAAUAACAGACACCAACAUGUCCCUAGUGAGCCUCUAGUUGACUAGCUCAUUGAUCAACAGAUAGUCAUGGUUUCCUGACUAUGGAGAUUGGAUGUCAUUGAUAACGAGAUCACAUCAUUAGGAGAAUGAUGUGAUGGACAAGACCCAAUCCUAAACAUAGCAUAAGAUCGUAUAGUUCGUUGCUAGAGUUUUUCCAAUGUCAAGUAUCCUUUCCUUAGACCAUGAGAUCGUGUAACUCCCGGAUACCGUAGGAGUGCUUUGGGUGUACCAAACAUCACAACGUAACUGGGUGACUAUAAAGGUAGACUACGGGUAUCUCUGAAAGUGUCUGUUGGGUUGACAUGGAUCAAGACUGGGAUUUGUCACUCCGUAUGACGAAGAGGUAUCACUGGGCCACUCGGUAAUGCAUCAUCAUUAUGAGCUCAAAGUGACCAAGCGUCUGGUCAUGGAAUCAUGCAUUACGGUACGAGUAAAGUGACUUGCCGGUAACGAGAUUGAACGAGGUAUUGGGAUACCGACGAUCGAAUCUCGGGCAAGUAACAUAUCGAUUGACAAAGGGAAUUGCAUACGGGGUUGCUUGAAUCCUCGACAUCGUGGUUCAUCCGAUGAGAUCAUCGUGGAGCAUGUGGGAGCCAACAUGGGUAUCCAGAUCCCGCUGUUGGUUAUUGACCGGAGAGUCGUCUCGGUCAUGUCUGCCUGUCUCCCGAACCCGUAGGGUCUACACACUUAAGGUUCGGUGACGCUAGGGUUGUAGGAAUAUGUAUAUGCAGUAACCCGAAUGUUGUUCGGAGUCCCGGAUGAGAUCCCGGACGUCACGAGGAGUUCCGGAAUGGUCCGGAGGUAAAGAAUUAUAUAUAGGAAGUACUAUUUCGGCCAUCGGGACAAGUUUCGGGGUUAUCGGUAUUGUACCGGGACCACCGGAAGGGUCCCGGGGGUCCACCGGGUGGGGCCACCUGCCCCGGGGGGCCACAUGGGCUGUAGGGAGUGCGCCUUGGCCUACAUGGGCCAAGGGCACCAGCCCCAACAGAGGCCCAUGCGCCUAGGGUUUAAGAGGGAAGAGUCCCACUAGGGGAAGGCACCCCUUAGGUGCCUUGGGGGGAGGGAAACCUCCCUUUGGCCACCGCCCCCUAGGAGAUUGGAUCUCCUAGGCCGGCGCCUCCCCCCCCCCCUAGGCCCUCCUAUAUAUAGUGGGGAAGGAGGGCUUUUUAGACACGCCUUUGGUUGCCUCCUUCUCCCUCUCCAACACCUCCUCCUCCUCCAUAGUGCUUAGCGAAGCCCUGCCGGAGUACUGCAGCUCCAUCACCACCACGCCGUCGUGUUGCUGCUGGAGCCAUCUUCCUCAACCUCUCCCCUCCCCUUGCUGGAUCAAGAAGAAGGAGACGUUACGCUGAUUGUACGUGUGUUGAACGUGGAGGUGCCGUCCGUUCGGUGCUAGGAUCUCCGGUGAUUUGGAUCAUGUCGUGUUCGACUACAUCAUCCCCGUUCUUUGAACGCUUCCACUCACGAUCUACAAAGGUAUGUAGAUGCAUCCGAUCACUCGUUUCUAGAUGAACUCAUAGAUGGAUCUUGGUGAAACCGUAGGAAAAUUUUUGUUUUCUGCAACGUCUCCCAACAGUGGUAUCAGAGCUAGGUCUAUGCGUAGUUCUUCUUGCGCGAGUAGAACACAAUUUGUUGUGGGCGUAGAUGUUGUCAACUUUCUUGCCGCUACUAGUCUUAUCCUGCUUCAACGGUAUUGUGGGAUGAAGCGGCCCGGACCAACCUUACACGUACGCUUACGUGAGACUGGUUCCACCGACUAACAUGCACUAGUUGCAUAAGGUGGCUGGCGGGUGUCUGUCUCUCCUACUUUAGUUGGAGCGGAUUCGAUGAAAAGGGUCCUUAUGAAGGGUAAAUAGAAGUUGACAAAUUACGUUGUGGCUUUCACGUAGGUAAGAAAACGUUCUUGCUAGAACCCUAUUUCAGCCACGUAAAACUUGCAACAACAAUUAGAUGACGUCUAACUUGUUUUUGCAGCAAGUGCUUUGUGAUAUGAUAUGGCCAAAGUUGUGAUGAAUGAUGAAUGAUCUAUAUGUGAUGUUCAUGCUAUUGUAAUAGGAAUCACGACUUGCAUGUCGAUGAGUAUGACAACCGGCAGGAGCCAUAGGAGUUGUCUUUAUUUUUUUUAUGACCUGCGUGUCAUUGAGAAACGCCAUGUAAAUUACUUUACUUUAUUGCUAAACGUGUUAGCCAUAGUAGUAGAAGUAAUAGUUGGCGAGCAACUUCAUGGAGACACGAUGAUGGAGAUCAUGAUGAUGGAGAUCAUGGUGUCAUGCCGGUGACAAGAUGAUCAUGGAGCCCCAAGAUGGAGAUCAAUGGAGCUAUGUGAUAUUGGCCAUAUCAUGUCACUAUUAUUAUUUGAUUGCAUGUGAUGUUUAUCAUGUUUUGCAUCUUGUUUACUUAGAACGACGGUAGUAAAUAAGAUGAUCCCUCAUAAUAAUUUCAAGAAAGUGUUCCCCCUAACUGUGCACCGUUGCGACAGUUCGUUGUUUCAAUGCACCACGUGAUGAUCGGGUGUUUGAUCCAAACGUUCACAUACAACGGGUGUAAGACAGAUUUACACAUGCAAACACUUAGGUUGACUUGACGAGCCUAGCAUGUGUAUAGACAUGGCCUCGGAACAUAGAAGACCGAAAGGUCAAGCAUGAGUCGUAUAGAAGAUACGAUCAACAUGAAGAUGUUCACCGAUGUUGACUAGUCCGUCUCACGUGAUGAUCAGGCACGGCCUAGUUGACUCGGAUCAUGUUAUACUUAGAUGACUAGAAGAGGGAUGUCUAUCUAAGUGGGAGUUCAUUGAAUAAUUUGAUUAGAUGAACUUAAUUAUCAUGAACUUAGUCUAAAAUAUUUACAAUAUGUCUUGUAGAUCAAAUGGCCAACGUAGUCCUCAAUUUCAACGUGUUCCUAGAGAAAACCAAGCUGAAAGAUGAUGGCAGCAACUAUACGGACUGGGUCCGGAACCUGAGGAGCAUCCUCAUAGCUGCCAAGAAAGAUUAUGUCCUACAAGCACCGCUGGGUGACGCACCUGUUCUCCCUGCAGAACAAGACGUUAUGAACGCUUGGCAGGCACAAACCGAUGACUACUCCCUCGUUCAGUGCGGCAUGCUUUACAGUUUAGAGCCGGGGCUCCAAAAGCGUUUUGAGAGACACGGAGCAUAUGAGAUGUUCGAAGAGCUGAAAAUGGUUUUCCAAGCUCGUGCCCGGGUCGAGAGAUAUGAAGUCUCCGAUAAAUUCUUCAGCUGUAAGAUGGAGGAAAAUAGUUCUGUCAGUGAGCACAUACUCACUAUGUCUGGCUUACAUAACCGCUUGACUCAGCUGGGAGUUAAUCUCCCGGAUGAUGCGGUCAUUGACAGAAUCCUCCAGUCGCUUCCACCGAGCUACAAGAGCUUUGUGAUGAACUUCAAUAUGCAGGGGAUGGAAAAGACCAUUCCUGAAGUAUUUGCUAUGCUGAAAUCAGCAGAGGUAGAAGUCAAGAAGGAACAUCAAGUGUUGAUGGUCAAUAAAACCACUAAGUUCAAGAAGGGUAAGGGUAAAAAGAACUUCAAGAAGGACGGCAAGGAAGUUGCCGCGCCCGGCAAGCAAGCUGCCGGGAAGAAGCCAAAGAAUGGACCCAAGCCCGAGACUGGGUGCUCUUGUUGCAAGGGAAGUGGUCACUGGAAGCGGAACUGCCCCAAAUACUUAGCGGGCAAGGGAAGUGAUAUACAUGUAAUUGAUGUGUACCUUGCUAGUACCCGUAGUAGCUCCUGGGUAUUUGAUACCGGUGCAGUUGCUCACAUUUGUAACUCAAAGUAGGGGUUGCGGAAUAAGCGGAGACUGGCAAAGGACGAGGUGACGAUGCGCGUUGCGAAUGGUUCCAAGGUCAAUGUGAUCGCCGUCGGCACGCUACCUCUAUAUCUACCUUCGGGAUUAGUUUUAAACCUUAAUAAUUGUUAUUUAGUGCCAGCUUUGAGCAUGAACAUUGUAUCGGGAUCUCGUUUAAUUCGAGAUGGCUACUCAUUUAAAUCCGAGAAUAAUGGUUGUUCUAUUUAUAUGAGAGAUAUGUUUUAUGGUCAUGCUCCUAUGGUGAAUGGUUUAUUCUUAAUGAAUCUCGAGCGUAAUGCUACACAUAUUCAUAGUGUGAGUACCAAAAGAUGUAAAGUUGAUAAUGAUAGUCCUACAUACUUGUGGCACUGCCGCCUUGGUCACAUAGGUGUCAAACGCAUGAAGAAGCUCCAUGCAGAUGGACUUUUAGAGUCUCUUGAUUACGAAUCAUUUGACAUGUGCGAACCAUGCCUCAUGGGUAAGAUGACCAAGACUCCGUUCUCAGGAACAAUGGAGCGAGAACCAACUUAUUGGAAAUCAUACAUACUGAUGUAUGCGGUCCAAUGAGUGUUGAGGUUCGCGGUGGCUAUCGUUAUGUUCUCACCCUCACUGAUGAUUUGAGUAAAUAUGGGUAUAUCUACUUAAUGAAACACAAGUCUGAAACCUUUGAAAAGUUCAAGGAAUUUCAGAGUGAGGUUGAGAAUCAACGUGACAGGAAAAUCAAGUUUCUACGACCAGAUCGUGGAGGAGAAUACUUGAGUCACGAAUUUGGCACACACUUAAGAAAAUGUGGAAUAGUUUCACAACUCACACCGCCUGGAACACCUCAGCGUAAUGGUGUGUCCGAACAUCGUAAUUGCACCCUAUUAGAUAUGGUACGAUCUAUGAUGUCUCUUACCGAUUUACCGCUAUCUUUUUGGGGCUAUGCUUUAGAGACUGCCGCAUUCACUUUAAAUAGGGCUCCGUCGAAAUCCGUUGAGACGACACCGUUUGAAUUAUGGUUUGGGAAGAAACCUAAGCUGUCGUUUCUAAAAGUUUGGGGAUGCGAUGCUUAUGUCAAGAAACUUCAACCUGAAAAGCUCGAACCCAAGUCGGAAAAAUGCGUCUUCAUAGGAUACCCUAAAGAAACUGUUGGGUAUACCUUCUACCUCAGAUCCGAAGGCAAGAUCUUUGUUGCCAAGAAUGGAUUCUUUCUAGAGAAAGAGUUUCUCUCGAAAGAAGUAAGUGGGAGGAAACUAGAACUUGAUGAAGUGUUACCUCUUGAACCGGAAAAUGGCGCAACUCAAGAAAAUGUUCCUGAGGUGCCUGCACCGACUAGAGAGGAAGUUAUUGAUGAUGAUAAAGAUACUUCUGAUCAAGCUCCUACUGAAAUUCGAAGGUCCGCAAGGACACGUUCCGCACCAGAGUGGUACGGCAACCCUGUCUUGGAAAUCAUGUUGUUAGACAACGGUGAACCUUCGAACUAUGAAGAAGCGAUGGCGGGCCCGGAUUCCGACAAAUGGCUAGAAGCCAUGAAAUCCGAGAUAGGAUCCAUGUAUGAAAACGAAGUAUGGACUUUGACUGACUUGCCCGUUGAACGGCGAGCCAUAGAAAAUAAAUGGAUCUUUAAGAAGAAGACAGACACGGAUGGUAAUGUGACCAUCUAUAAAGCUCGGCUUGUCGCUAAGGGUUAUUGACAAGUUCAAGGGGUUGACUACGAUGAGACUUUCUCACCCGUAGCGAAGCUAAAGUCCGUCUGAAUUAUGUUAGCAGUUGCCGCAUACUAUGAUUAUGAGAUAUGGCAAAUGGGCGUCAAAACGGCAUUCCUUAAUGGUUUCCUUAAGGAAGAAUUGUAUAUGAUGCAGUCGGAAGGUUUUGUCGAUCCGAAGAAUGCUAACAAGGUGUGCAAGCUCCAACGCUCGAUUUAUGGGCUGGUGCAAGCAUCUCGGAGUUGGAACAUUCGCUUUGAUGUGAUGAUCAAAGCGUUUGGGUUUACGCAGACUUAUGGAGAAGCCUGCGUUUACAAGAAAGUGAGUGGGAGCUCUGUAGCAUUUCUCAUAUUAUAUGUAGAUGACAUACUUUUGAUGGGAAAUGAUAUAGAACUCUUGGACAGCAUCAAGGCCUACUUGAAUAAGAGUUUUUCAAUGAAGGACCUUGGAGAAGCUGCUUAUAUAUUAGGCAUCAAGAUCCAUAGAGAUAGAUCAAGAUGCCUCAUAGGUCUUUCACAAAGCACAUACCUUGAUAAGAUAUUGAAGAAGUUCAAUAUGGAUCAGUCUAAGAAGGGGUUCUUGCCUGUGCUACAAGGUAUGAAAUUGAGCUCAGCUUAAUGUCCGACCACGGCAGAAGAUAUAGAAGAGAUGAGUGUCAUCCCCUAUGCCUGAGCCAUAGGUUCUAUUAUGUAUGCCAUGCUGUGUACCAGACCUGAUGUAAACCUUGCCGUAAGUUUGGUAGGAAGGUACCAAAGUAAUCCCAGCAAGGAACACUGGACAGCGGUCAAGAAUAUCCUGAAGUACCUGAAAAGGACUAAGGAAAUGUUUCUCGUUUAUGGAGGUGACGAAGAGCUCGUCGUAAAGGGUUACGUCGACGCUAGCUUCGACACGGAUCUAGAUGACUCUAAGUCACAAACCGGAUACGUGUAUAUUUUGAAUGGUGGGGCAGUAAGCUGGUGCAGUUGCAAGCAGAGCAUCGUGGCGGGAUCUACAUGUGAAGUGGAGUACAUGGCAGCCUCGGAGGCAGCACAUGAAGCAAUAUGGGGGAAGGAGUUCAUCACCGACCUAGGAGUCAUACCCAAUGCGUCGGGGCCAAUCAAACUCUUCUGUGACAACACUGGAGCUAUUGCACUUGCCAAGGAGCCCAGGUUUCACAAGAAGACAAGGCACAUCAAGCGUUGCUUCAACUCCAUUCGUGAAAAUGUUCAAGAUGGAGACAUAGAUAUUUGUAAAGUACAUACGGACAUGAAUGUAGCAGAUCCGUUGACUAAGCCUCUCCCUAGGGCAAAACAUGAUCAACACCAGAAUUCCAUGGGUGUUCGAUUCAUCACAAUGUAACUAGAUUAUUGACUGUAGUGCAAGUGGGAGACUGUUGGAAAUAUGCCCUAGAGGCAAUAAUAAAAGCAUUAUUAUUAUAUUUCCUUGUUCAUGAUAAUUGUCUUUAUUCAUGCUAUAAUUGUGUUAUCCGGAAAUCGUAAUACAUGUGUGAAUAACAGACACCAACAUGUCCCUAGUAAGCCUCUAGUUGACUAGCUCGUUGAUCAACAGAUAGUCAUGGUUUCCUGACUAUGGACAUUGGAUGUCAUUGAUAAAGAGAUCACAUCAUUAGGAGAAUGAUGUGAUGGACAAGACCCAAUCCUAAACAUAGCAUAAGAUCGUAUAGUUCGUUGCUAGAGUUUUUCCAAUGUCAAGUAUCCUUUCCUUAGACCAUGAGAUCGUGUAACUCCCGGAUACCGUAGGAGUGCUUUGGGUGUACCAAACGUCACAACAUAACUGGGUGACUAUAAAGGUAGACUACGGGUAUCUCUGAAAGUGUCUGUUGGGUUGACACGGAUCAAGACUGGGAUUUGUCACUCCGUAUGACGGAGAGGUAUCACUGGGCCCAAUCGGUAAUGCAUCAUCAUUAUGAGCUCAAAGUGACCAAGUGUCUGGUCACGGAAUCAUGCAUUACGGUACGAGUAAAGUGACUUGCCGGUAACGAGAUUAAACGAGGUAUUGGGAUACCGACGAUCGAAUCUCGGGCAAGUAACAUAUCGAUUGACAAAGGGAAUUGCAUACGGGGUUGCUUGAAUCCUCGACAUCGUGGUUCAUCCGAUGAGAUCAUCGUGGAGCAUGUGGGAGCCAACAUGGGUAUCCAGAUCCCGCUGUUGGUUAUUGACCGGAGAGUCUUCUCGGUCAUGUCUGCCUGUCUCCCGAACCCGUAGGGUCUACACACUUAAGGUUCGGUGACGCUAGGGUUGUAGGAAUAUGUAUAUGCAGUAACCCGAAUGUUGUUCGGAGUCCCGGAUGAGAUCCCGGACAUCACGAGGAGUUCCGGAAUGGUCCGGAGGUAAUGAAUUAUAUAUAGGAAGUACUAUUUCGGCCAUCGGGACAAGUUUCGGGGUUAUCGGUAUUGUACUGGGACCACCGGAAGGGUCCCAGGGGUCCACCGGGUGGGGCCACCUGCCCCGGGGGGCCACAUGGGCUGUAGGGAGUGCGCCUUGGCCUACAUGGGCCAAGGGCACCAGCCCCAACAGAGGCCCAUGCGCCUAGGGUUUAAGAGGGAAGAGUCCCACUAGGGGAAGGCACCCCUUAGGUGCCUUGGGGGGAGGGAAACCUCCCUUUGGCCGCCGCCCCCUAGGAGAUUGGAUCUCCUAGGCCGGCGCCUCCCCCCCCCUAGGCCCUCCUAUAUAUAGUGGGGAAGGAGGGUUUUUCAGACACGCCUUUGGUUGCCUCCUUCUCCCUCUCCAACACCUCCUCCUCCUCCAUAGUGCUUAGCGAAGCCCUGCCGGAGUACUGCAGCUCCAUCACCACCACGCUGUCGUGUUGCUGCUGGAGCCAUCUUCCUCAACCUCUCCCCUCCCCUUGCUGGAUCAAGAAGAAGGAGACGUUACGCUGACCGUACGUGUGUUGAACGCGGAGGUGCCGUCCGUUCGGUGCUAGGAUCUCCGGUGAUUUGGAUCACGUCGUGUUCGACUACAUCAUCCCCGUUCUUUGAACGCUUCCGCUCGCGAUCUACAAAGGUAUGUAGAUGCAUCCGAUCACUCAUUGCUAGAUGAACUCAUAGAUGGAUCUUGGUGAAACCAUAGGAAAUUUUUUGUUUUCUGCAACGUUCCCCAACACGGAUAUCCGCCAGUUUCGCUCGAUCAACGUGAUGAGUCCGGCGUGAAGGGACACGGUUCGACACGAGAGGCAACCCCGGCGUCGUCAUCUUCAAGGCAUGCCGGCGUGUGGGAGUCGCCGAUGAGGAGUGCACCGGGAGCUACAUGCCAACGGCAGCCCGAUGUCACCGUCGUCUUGAGUGAAGAGCACACCAUCAUGGGCGCCGCGUCGUCGCUGGUGAUGAGUUUGGCGUAAAGGGAUCACCAGGGAUUGCACACGAACGGCAAGCCCGGCACCGUCGUCGUCUUGAAUGAAGGGCGCACCACCAUGGGCGUCGCGUCGUCGCCGGUGAUGAGUCCGGCGUGAAGGGAUCGCCGGGGGUUGCACACGAACGGCAACCCCGGUGUCGUCGUUGUCACUACAGGAAAUAUGUCAACUUGUGACCUUGACUAUUGGUCACUGAAAGGUCAUUAUUUUUCAUUUGCGACCUUUUUGUGACCAAAAACAGAAGGUCAAAAGCUGACGGUCGUAAACUGAAAUUAACAAGAAGGUCGUAGACGUUUACGACCAAAACAGAAGGUCAUUGAACCCAUGACCUUUUGUUUUGGUCACUGGCUGUCUGCCCAGGCCACGUCGGAUCCGGUGUGGGAAUCUGACGUGGAAAAAUUGCGACCAAUUAAAAAGGCCGUUGAUAAGAUUCAACUCGGUCCAAUUAGGUAUUUUACAUGGGCCGAGCUCAACAAUUCAACCUAUUUGUAUUUUUUCUCAUAUUAAUUUUGGUCGGGUAGAUGGGCCAAGCCCAACAUUUCAGCCUCGUUAUUUUUGGGCCUAGGCCUUUUUGUUUUCUUGGCCUUCACCUUUUCACAAUUGAUUUUUAAGCAAUUUUAUUCAUUUUCCUGAAUUGUUUGAUUUGUGGCCUUUUUAGGGCCCAAAUAGUAUUUGUUUCAUUUCUAAUGUAUCAGCAAUUAAUGAUCUGAUCCUAAAAACACAAUAAAUAAUCAACAUUUCCAAUAUUCCAAUCACAUAAAUUUUCACAAAUGGCGACCAAAAUGAGUAUAUUAUAUAUAUUACAAUCAUGCGAUAGUUCACAUCGUCUAGUAAUUUACAACACCCAGGAAGUGCAAAUACCUAGGAACAUCAAGGAACAUCUCUGAAGUAAACACCUAGGAACAUAAAACACCUAGGAAGAUAAAACUAGCUACAAAGAUGAAGUGUUCCCUUCUUCGAACUUCUUUAGCCUAGAGCUCCUGUAGAAGAGAGGAAAUUAUGUUAUCGUGGCUGCCAAUGAAAGCAAUAUCUUCCAACAAAGAACAACUAGGAAAAGAAUAAUAAACAGAUACACAAGCAGCUAGGAGCAUGGAUAACAGUAGUAUACUGCUGCUGAGGCAUUAGUAUGGAUAACAGAAUAAUGAAGUAUGGAUAACAGUAGCAACACUAGUAUACUGCUGCUGAGGCAUUAGUAUAAUGAACAGAACUUCCUGAAGUAUACUCCUGCUGCUGAAGUAUACAGUUGCUGCUGCUGAGUUUGCAUCAGUUUGCAAAUCUUAUAGAAUAAUUUGUUUAUGCCAGGAAUGCAUCAGUUUGUACAAUACUAGAAAGGGCAAAUAAAACAACAGAAUUGCAUAGGGCAAAUAAAACAUUUUAACCUGUUGUUGUUCUACACUUCAACAUGGAUAACAAAUCUAACAACGAUGGUUGGCAUCAUCCUUGCGUUGGCUAGUUAAAACUAAGAGCAGCAGAGCAGAUAUGUGUAUUACGCAGACAAAUAGGGGUGCUCCUGUUGGGUUGCAACAUGAAAGAGCCAGGUUUUUAUUACUGCUAAAAAAUACUUAGCAACCACAACAAAUUAUGAUCAAAGGAAUGGCAACGAAUCUAAGGGUUUAUUUUUGGCAAAAUAUCCAAGGUUGAGAAAUGCAAAAAUGCAAAAAACGCCGAUCUACUGUAGUUUGUUUAACCAUCACCACACUAAUGAACAUGUGUUCAAGAGAGUCGUUUGAUCCAAAGAAUUGAAGACGAAUAAACAAAAGAGAAAUAUUUCAAUUCUAUUCAGAAGUAUAGUCCAAGCUAUAUUUGACUUAUGAUGAAAUGCAUAGGUCCAGCCGAUGACUACACAGCAGCAACUACUUCAGACAUUGGCUGGAGAAAUGCUUAUCUUUUUUAUUCUUCAACGACGUAAAAAGAAAUGACAACGCAUCACCAACAAGAAUAGACUCUCACCCAACUAAUAUACUAGAACUAGAUCAACCAAGCAUCAGUUUUAAAAAGCUCGGUUGAAGAUACUUCAACGACGUAAAAUCUCAUUAGCAUCUCCUUGUAACAUGAUAUGCUCAGCUGACAAACGAUUCACAUGCAACUCCUCUACUUUAUAUCACACAAACACACAGAGCUGCAUCUCUAGAUGAGGAACAAAAAAACGUUGAUGGCAUGCUAAGCAUCAGUUUUAAAAAGCUCAAUUUUAGAUCAUCAAAGACCGGAAAGGCCGCAGUGGUCUAAAUGUUUCACAUCCUCUGCCCAGCACAACAUCAUCAUCGUCACGGAAAUUCCCUAAAUAGUCAGCUAUCCACAAAAACAUAGUGACCCACAUCACCAAUGAGCUACUGUGAGCAUGUAAGGACCAGAUACUUUGCAGAGCUACUAAGCAAAUGGGAUCGGGCGGAAGGGCAAAGAGAGGGAGGUGGCUACCUUCUCCACAGGGGAACUUCCUGGUGGUGAUGUUGAGCAGCAUCCUGACGGGGCCCUUGACCUUUAGCUGCUUCUCCUUGGCGCCCUUCACCAGAUCUGAGGUCACUGUUCAACACACGCACACACAAACGCAUCAGAUCGGAGGCGCACAAAUCCAGCCUCAUCCAACCAAGCACUAACAAACACAUGAAUGAUACUAACAUAAGCCAUAUAGUAGUCUUGGAAGUGUGCAAUGAAUUUGCACAGGAGUACGUACGUACAACACAAUAGAAACCUCAAGAAUCAUGGUGUGGAAUACAAUGAGGAAUGUUUGUUUGGUCGAGGAUGGGUCAGGCGCCCUUGAUCACGACGACGGGGCAGCCCAGGCUGUUGAUGCAGUACUUGCUCACACUACCCAAGAACAUCCUGUUCAACCAAAGGAACCGGAUCAGCUUGUUUCUUUCAUACACGAAAGGUGACGCCUAUCACACAAGCAGGCAGGCAACUGUCCUAGAAACUUCAUGAUCUAAAUAGAUUACAAGAUGAACUCCCCGAAAAAAAAUCGCUAAAUGAACUGAUCUAGAAGGUUACUACAGUGCUACUACAUGGCUGCACUAAAGAAUGUGAAGAUGUAGUUUUAGAUCCGUAGGAUUUGAAUCAAUUUUGGUUGUACAAGUAGAGUUCUUCACUGUGACCGUGAGAGAUUUCCAUGAAGCAAUGCAAGUUAGUUUUCAGUAGCUACUACUAAGACUGACUGACUGAACAGUUCUAUCCGCGGCAUUCAGUUCUAUGGAAAGAAAAAUGCUAUGCCAAGGCGCAAAUGCGCUACAGAUCAAGAGAAAUUUAUCUAUACACAUGCAGUCUCAUGUCUGCAGGAGCAGAUGUAACACAUACUUCACACUGUAUCAGAUUCAUACGCAAAAUGAUGUUUAUACAGUAGCACAGUUCUCUGAUAAUCUAGUUUUGCCCAAAUAUUAUAGUGUCUCAGUAAACACGGAUGAGAUCUGCAGUCGAAUUUGGAACGAACGAAUUUCACUACAGUCUACAGGUGUUGUACUGGCAAGAAAACUUAUUUCAGAAACCGCAAUUUCGUUUACAAUUUGCAUUUGAGCCAGGCAGCUAGUGAGCGCCAGAACAAUCAGAAAUUCAGCUCACCAAAUUGCAGAAGACAGAGCUGGUAUAUCCAUUACCUUGAGGGGGCCGAAAGCACGACACCCCAUGAUGAGCAGAACGGCCUUUUGUUCGGCCACCACCUCGCAAAUCUUCUCCUUGGGAUCCCCCACCACCACCUGCAUCUUCACCUCCACCUUCAACAGACCAACAAUCCGACCCAAUUUAAGCACCAAUUAAGCACGAGCAGCCGGGGGAAGAGAAAAAAUCAGCAAUCGGAACAGAGACGUCUCGUUUAACCGUCACCUUACAUUCUUAUCGGAGCAAAUCUUGAGCGCGUGAUCCGUCGCUGGUGCGAAUCGAUCGCCUGCGUGAACGCCGGCACCUUCGCCACACCUGCGCAACACCGAGACCCACCGAAGAAGCGGUCCGCGAUGAAGGGUCGAGGUAGCCGGAUGCGGAUGGGGCGACGCGGAUCCAGGUAGCCGGAUGUAGAUGGGGCAACACGGAUCCAGCUAGCCGGAUGCGGAUGGGGCGAUGUGGAUGGAGCCACUUGAGGGCGGGGAGGCGUGGUGACUCGGGCUCCUCGUCGUCGACACAGGGGUGGAGGCCGUCCAUGGUGCGGCGGCGGGGGCGGCGGCGGCUAGGGUUUUCGCGAGCGGGUGUGGGAGAGAAGGUGGGGAUUGGAACAAGUUGUGGCCUUGUGGGUACGGUGGGGAGUGGGGCUAUGGGGGCGUGGUGCUACGUGGGUGAGAUGGUUAAGGGGUGAGGGCUACCAUUGGAUCCAUAAGCAUCCGACGGUGGUUGAUGCAUGAUCCGUGUGAUAUGGCUAUGGACCAAUAAGAGCGCACCAAAUAAUUUGAAGACCUUUUGACCAUAUAAAUUGGUCGUGAUUGAUUACACACAAAUUUUUCAUUCCAUUUUUCAAUGCUUAAAAUGAGUUUUUUUAAAAACCUAUCAAAUAUUUGUUCAAAUGAUGUCAUAUUUUGCGCAAGUUUACAUUUUAGGUUGGCAAACAAUAUUGACAAAGGGAGUUUUUAUUUCUUUUGCAUGAAAAAAUAAUUUUCCAUUUUUUGAGUGCCCAAAAUAAGUUUUUUUAAGGACUUACCAUAUAUUUGUUGCAAAAUUGUACCAAAUCAAUUUUCUAAAAUACUAGGCCAUAUAUAAUGCACAGUUGACCAAAUGGUUGGGUGCCAAUAGUUUCGAUCCACCUCGUGAAAAAGACAAAUUUCCGCCGAUUCAGCGGGAAGCGGGUCAAAUUUGAACUGCAGCUGCCUUAUAGUUUGAUCUUUAUUUUUUGAAAAAAAUCACUUCUAGGUACAUACGUAUCUAUUUAAUCAGAGAAACACCAAUUUUUUUCCAAGAUUCAACCAGUAGCUAGGAACGGUCAUGCCCGCCGUUUUGACCGCAUUUUAAAACGGGCAUAAAAAUUCAAAAAAAAUCCAAAAAUUGGAAAACCUUCACAUUGUGUCAUUAUAUGUGGCCAAGUUACCAGGAAAAUAAUAAACUUGUAAUACAAUAAUUAUUUAAAAGAAGUGUUCUCAGAAACGAGCUAUCAUGUGUGAAGAUCAAUGGCUUUCAAGCCAAAUGAUCAAUCUUAUGGCCACAUUCAUGGCAUAGUUUGUUCAAAUGGUCUCAUAUUGUCCACAAGAGUGCAUAUUGGAAUGGCAAACAAUGUUGCCUAAGGAAAUUUUCAUUUUCUUUGGACGAAAAAAUCAUUUUCCAUUUUUCGAGUGCCCCAAAUGAGGUUUUUUUGUGAAGAGCCUACCAAAUAAUUGUUGCAAAAUUGGACCAAAUCAUUUUUAUAAAAUACUAGGCCAUAUUUAAUUCACAAUUGACCCAAUGGUUGGGUGUAAAAACUUUUGAUCCACCUCUGGUGAAAAAGACAAAUUUCCACUGAUUUAGUAGGAAGCGGGUCAAAUUUGAACUGUAGCUGCCUCUUAGUUUGCUCUUUAUUUUUUCCGAAAAUCAUUUCUAGGUACAUAACUAUCUAUUUAAUCAAAGAAACAUCAAAAGUUUUCCAAGAUUCAACAACUAGCUAGGAACGGUCAAGCUCGCCGUUUUGAUCGCAUUUUGAAACGGGCAUAAAAAAUUCAAAAGAAUCAAAAAAUUGGAAAACCUUCGCAUUGUGUCAUCAUAUGUGACCAAGUUUUCGGGAAAAAUAAUAAACUUAUAAUACGGCAAUUAUUUUUAAAAAGUGUUCUCGGAAAUGAGCUAUCAUGCGUGAAGAUUCAUGACUUUCAAGCCAAAUGAUCAAUCUUAUGGCCACAUUCAUGGCAUAGUUUGUUCAAAUGAUCUCAUAUUGUACACAAGGGUGCAUCUUGGAAUGGCAAACAAUGUUGCCUAAGGGAGUUUUCAUUUUGUUUGCACAGAAAAUUCAUUUUCCAUUUUUCAAGUGCCCGAAAUAAGGUUUUUUUAAGGAACUACCAAAUAAAUGUUGUAAAAAUGAACCAAAUCAAUUUUAUAAAAUACCAGGCCAUGUUUAAUGCAUAAUUGACAUAAUGGUUGGGUGUCAAAAGCCUUGAUCCACCUCUGGUGAAAAAGACAAAUUUCCGCUGCUUCAGCAGGAAGCAGGUCAAAUUUGAAAUGUAGCUGCCUCAUAGUUUGCUCUUUAUUUUUUCCAAAAAUCAUUUCUAGGUACAUAACUAUCUAUUUAAUCAGGGAAACAUCAAAAGGUUUCCAAGAUUCAACCACUAGCUAGGAACGGUCAAGCCCACCGUUUUGACCGCAUUUUGAAACGGGCAUAAAAAAAUUCAAAAAAAAUCAAAAAAUUGGAAAACCUUCGCAUUGUGUCAUCAUAUGUUAUCAAGUUUCCAGGAAAAAUAACAAACUUAUAAUACAACAAUUAUUUUAAAAAAGUAUUCCCAGAAAUGAGCUAUCAUGUGUGAAGAUUCAUGACUUUCAAGCCAAAUGAUCAAUCUUAUGGCCACAUUCAUAGCAUAGUUUAUUCAAAUAAUCUCAUAUUAUGCACAAGGGUGCAUAUUGUAAUUCCAAACAAUGUUUCCUAAGGGACUUUUUAUUUUCUUUGCACGGAAAAUUCAUUUUCCAUUUUCCGAAUGCCCGAAUUGAGUUCUUCUUGUGAAGGACCUACCAUAUAUUUGUUGCAAAAUUGGGCCAAAUCAUUUUUCUAAAAUACUAGGCCAUAUUUCAUUCACAAUUGACCAAAUGGUUGGGUGUCAAAAGCCUUGAUGCACUUCUGGUGAAAAAGACAAAUUCCCGCCGAUUCAGUAGGAAGCGGGUCAAAUUUGAACUGCAGCUGCCUCAUAGUUUGCUCUUUAUUUUUUCAAAAAAUUAUUUCUAGAUACAUAAGUAUCUAUUUAAUCAGAGAAACAUCAAAAGUUUUCCAAGAUUCAACCACUAGCUAGGAACGGUCAAACACGCUGUUUUCAUCGCAUUUCGCAACGGGCAUAAAAAUUUCAAAAAAAUCAAAAAAUUGGGAAACCUUCGCAUUGUGUCAUUAUAUGUGACCAAGUUUCCAGGAAAAAUAACAAACUUGUAAUACGGCAAUUGUUUUAAAAAAGUGUUCUCAGAAAUGAGCUAUCAUGCGUGAAGAUUCAAGGCUUUCAAGCCAAAUGAUCAAACUUAUGGCCACAUUCAUGGCAUAGUUUGUUCAAAUGAUCUCAUAUUGUUCACAAGGGUGCAUCCUGGAAUUCCAAACAAUGUUGACUAAGGGAGUUUUCAUUUUCUUUGCAUGGAAAAUUCAUUUUCCAUUUUUUGAAUGCCCAAAAUGAGUUUUUUUGUGAAGGAGCUACCAUAUAUUUGUUGCAAAAUUGGACCAAAUAAUUUUUAUAAAAUAUUAGGCCAUAUUUAAUGCAUAAUUGACAAAAUGGCUUGGUGUCAAAAGUUUUGAUCCACCACUUGUGAAAAAGACAAAUUUCUGCCGAUUUAGUAGGAAGCGGGUCAAUUUUGAACUGCAUCUACCUUAUUGUUUGCUCUUUAUUUUUUCCAAAAAUCAUUUCUAGUUACAUAAGUAUCUAUUUAGUCAUAAAUACAUGGUUUGGUGGCGAUACGCCGAGGUUUGGAUGUGGCCCAGGGCCCCAACUCCAAAGCGCGUAAACUCGCAUGCCCGCCGUGUGGUCACCAUGUGACCUUGGUGUUGACAUGCGUUCUGGGAGGGCUAGGCAUGUCUAGUGGGUUGGGCACUCCCCAGGUAGGUGCUAGGAAGAAAAUUACAACAGAAGAAUCUCACGAGGGGACUGACCUAUGCUUAAAGAUGAAUUAGCAGCCAAGUGUUUGAUUAGCGGUACGGGAAAUGCACAUGGCCACUGGGCGUGAGUUUUGGCUGAGGAUAAUCAUCUACUAAGGAGAAUUUCUUCACAAAUUUUUAGCUCAAAAGGAGGAUCCUAGGUGGUACUUGCUUUGCAAAGUACCACGCUGGACAAAAAUACAAAAGUUGAAGCUGGGCUCAAAAUAAUGAAUGGAUUGAGCUGAAAUUUGGUGGAGGAUGGUUAUUUGGGCAUAGGAAAGCAUUGUAGAAAAUUGAUAACAUUUGGACAUGCCAAAGUAGUACUUCCUUCACAAUGCUCUUCUAUGGACAGAAACUUGGGGAGACUAGUGAGAGAGAUUGGAUAAAUGAAAUGAGCUCAAAAUUGGUGUAGGUAAGUUACAUAGGUAUGGUCAUGCGCUGGUAAAUUUUCAGAUCAUUUGGGUAAGCCUAUCUAGUACUUACUUCACAAAGCUUCUCUCGAGGUAGAAACUUUGGAAAUUUCCUGAGAAAGAUUUACUAGGAAAAUUGAGCUGAAUAUUAUCAUGUGGCAAUGAUUUGGGUAUGGAAGAGUGCCCAAAAAGUUUGAGGGUAAUAGGAGGGGUCUAUAUAACACUUGCUUUGCAACGUGCCAAUUUGGCCAUAAAAUAUAAAUUGAACAUGGGCUCAUAUAGAUGAUUUGACUGAGCUGCAAUUUGGAGGAGGGUGAUAAUUUGGGCAUAUGAAGAAACUGAAUAAAUUUCAUGUCAUUUUGACAUACAAAAAAGGUACUUUCUUCACAAUGCUUCUAGGUGGACAAAAACUUUGGAAAUUUGCCGAGGAAGAUUUGCUAGGCAAAUGGAGCUGAAUUUUGUCAUACGGUAAUGAUUUGGAUAGGAAAGAGUGCCAAAAAAUUCCGAGGGCAAUCAAGAAUAUAUAAAUAGCACUUCCUUCAUAAAGUGUUGUUGUGAACAGAAUAGAAAAAUGAACAUUGUUGAAUUAGUUUUGAACUAGGCAAGGAAUGAUUUUUAAAUAUUUGAUGAAGAUAUGACCCAAAGAAUUUAUGAGAUUUUUUUGGGAAUUUUGGAAAUGACAGAAAUAUAGGUUGCAUCACAACCUAGGGCAAAAAUUGACACAUAGACAUGACAUAUAGGCAAAACUGAUGAGGUGGCGUCAAGUCAUACCAAUCCACCACAAUUUACAAGGUUAUGACCAUCUAUAUUGGUCAUGAUCAGCUAGAAAAAAGGCAGCGGAUUAGUGUUGUCUGCUUUAUGCCAUUUCGUGUAAGGAAAUUACGACCUUUCUGACCAAAAUGGUCGCAACGGUUUAGGGUUUGGAGCCCCCUGAACAAUUUUUGACCAAUUGGUCUCAGAUGGUCAUAGAUCUAUGACCAAUUCUUUCAGGGUCACUGACAGAAGGUCACUAGUUGACAUAUUUCUUAUAGUGUGUCUUGAUGAGUGAAGGGCGCAACACUACAGGCGUGUCGUCGCCGCCGGUGAUGAGUCCGGCGUGAUGGAAUCGCCGAGGGUUGCACACGAACGACGACUAAGGCAUCGUUGACUUGAGUAAAGGGCGCACCGUCUUCAGGAGUAUCGAGUGCCAAUGCCGGCAUCCGGCUUCGUCUCCGGCCGUGCGGCAGCAGCUCCGGUUGCGAUCAUCGAGAUGUGGAGAGAGAGGAGAGAUAGAAAGAGAGAGAUGGCAUAAAGGAGAGCUAACCAUUGUAGAAGAUGACCGCCAUGGCCACGUUGCUCUCUCCUGACGGUCUGUCGGCUCACGUUGCCCGCGCGCUCGCCAGCAUGAGCUCUCCAGCGAUCUGAGGCCGUGCACGUUGUUCACGUACGCGAGCUGUCCCGCAGCAGCGAUCUAUGCCGCGUAUACACUAACCCCUAUGAACGCACAUAUAUAUCCUACCCCUAUAAGCAUCUCCGAAAGAAUGAGCCGACAUAUUAUCUUGAAAUUUACGAAAUCACCGUAGGCACCUCGUCGUCGACGGGAACAUCUCCUCGCACUAAAUGCACAUCGUCGAAAAUCCUGAAAUAAAUACAUGACUUGAACCCUGGUGGGCUGGUGAUACCACAGUUCCUCUAACCAUCCAACCACAUGUUGGUUCACGUUUAAGAUAAUCAAGGCCGGCCCUGAGGGGGCGCAGGGGGGCGGCCGCCCCGGGCCCCCAAGAUCUAGAGGCCCCCGUCCAGGUGUAAUAUACGUAUAAAGGUAAGUAUAGUAGCAGGCCAUAUCUUCACGUAGAAAAAAGAAGUAGCCCAGCCCAAGAAGGAAGGUAGCAGCGAACGCACAUAAAUCAGGGUACGAUCAUGCGGAAACAAAUCAGCGUACACACGUAAAUCCCGUCGGCUCAUUCUCUUUAUUCCAUAACUACCGUGAGACAUUCUCCCUCCAAAAGAAAAAUAAACGAUCAUGUGACGUGAGGUCAUCCCUAAUUCCCUCUAUUCUCUGUUCUCCGCAAGCUCCAAACUCCAGAUCCCAAAUCGCUUAGGGGUGACUAGUCUCUGUUAGGUUGAUCUCUUUUCCGUUCGAGCCCAACGGCUUGACGGGACCGUGCACCGCUGACCCCCACCAACAUCCCUACCGAUCUAGGGUUACCGCGAGCCGAUGGGAUGCUCCACUGCAUCCACCCUAGCGCACACACAACCCCACGCCGACGACUCCACCAUGGCCGCCGCGCGCUGGUUCCUCGAGCCAAGGAGAAGGUGAUCUCCUCCCUCCGCCGUCAAUCCUAGCAUACCCGACCCCACAUCAUCUAUCAGUCUCCGGGCACUGUAUGCGGCGACGACACAGCACGAACAUCACCUACCCCAGAAAAUUGACAUUGCCGGCCCGAGCGCACAUGUACAUCCUCGAGUGUCUGCCACCAGAAAUCUACAUCACAUCAUCGCCGAGCGUCCAAUGACUGACGCCGAUCUAAUCAAUCUCAGGUAUGUCAAUAGUACUAUUCCAUACAGUUUAAAGUAAAACUUCGUGCUUUGAGAAAGAGAGAAUUUGAUAAAAGUAGUUGCCAUGAAGAAUCUAUAAGAUGCGGAUGAUUUUUUUUUUGCAUGUUACAUAUCUGUUUGUUUUGGUUGAUAUGAAUCACUUCAUUGAAGAAAGGAUAUAACUCACUGUGUUGAAAGAUUGUUCAGAUUUACUGUGCAUGUGAUUGUUGCAUCAGCUAAAAGAAGCUUUUCAAAUUUAAAAUUAUUGAAGAACCAUCUGGGAUAAACAAUGAACUAAAAGAGUUUAAAUGGUUAGGCAACAUUAUGCAUCGAUAACAAACUAUUGGAUGAUAUUGACAUUCACACAAUCAUAAGUGAUUUUUCAUUGAAGAAUCUUACAAGAAAAUUUGAAGAUAUGCAUAUUAUGUUUAUAACAAGGGGCCCCAAAUUAUACUUUCGCCCCGGGCCCCCAAAAUCUCAGGACCGGCCCUGAAGAUAAUCGUGUUGGUACUUAUCUGUUGGGCCUGUGGGUAUUCGAGUAUUUUCUUUUUGCAGAAAUGGUUUUCGAGUAUGUACGCAGCACUCAUACAUACGCGCAUAUACUCAUCCCUAUGUACACACACAUCGUACUCAUAUGGGCACCUUCAAGAGACUGAGCUGGCAUAAUAUCUUGAGAUUUGCAAAGCCAUUGUAGAUGUCUCGUCAUCGACUGAAACGUCUCCUUCCACUAAAAGCGCAUCGCCGAAAAUUUUAAAAUAAAUUUAGAAAUAAUGCGAGCACGAGAACUUAAACCUGGUGGGAUGGUGGAGAUACCACUCUCUCUAACUAUCCAACCACUCUCCCGGGGACGCAAGCAUUCACGUAUGUAUUCGUACACCCACGGGAGUACUUGAAUCGCGUACGACGCGGCCGAGACGUGCGCACACACAUAUCUGCACCCAGUUUGCAUGCAUGCACAUGCUAAGCCAAAACAUGCAUGGCCAUGCAUUACUUUGCAUCCAUCAGCCCAUGUGCUAGUUAUACAUACGUUGGUUCUUUAGCCAUCAUGUACGUAAAUGAUUGAGCUACCUCAUUAACCGGUUAAUACUAUCCCAUUAACCUUCACUUCAAUCACGGGCACUUCAGAAUGUAUACCGUGCAAUUCUAAAAAAAAAAGGAAUGUAUACGUGCACAUCAAUGGCUUCUUCAACAUAAACAUGCGCACGUGCAGGGGCACUCCUUGCUCCAUGCAUACAAAUGUACGUGUUAUUUGUGCAAAUUAUCAUCAAACAACUCUUUCUUAACAAGGCAAUGUUGAUCUAUUCUUUUUAUUUUCAUACUCCCUCUGUCCGAAAAUACUUGUUCUCGAAAUGGUUGUAUCUAGACUUAUUUUAGUUAUAGAUACAUUCAUUUUAUCCAUUUUUAGGACAAGUAUUUCUGGA
Molecule: long non-coding RNA, 26403 nt
Filed under: Triticum aestivum (bread wheat)
Lineage: Eukaryota; Viridiplantae; Streptophyta; Magnoliopsida; Poales; Poaceae
Description: long non-coding RNA (TAES_LNC027749)
Rfam family: MIR1120/MIR1122 microRNA precursor family (bases 26295-26403)
Source: RNAcentral